GAUGAACGCUGGCGGCGUGCCUAAUACAUGCAAGUCGAGCGAACAGACGAGAGUGCUUGCACUCUCUGACGUUAGCGGCGGACGGGUGAGUAACACGUGGGUAACCUACCUAUAAGACUGGGAUAACUUCGGGAAACCGGGGCUAAUACCGGAUAAUAUUUAGCUUCGCAUGAAGCAAUAGUGAAAGACGGUUCUGCUGUCACUUAUAGAUGGACCCGCGGUGUAUUAGCUAGUUGGUGAGGUAACGGCUCACCAAGGCAACGAUACAUAGCCGACCUGAGAGGGUGAUCGGCCACACUGGGACUGAGACACGGCCCAGACUCCUACGGGAGGCAGCAGUAGGGAAUCUUCCGCAAUGGACGAAAGUCUGACGGAGCAAUGCCGCGUGAGUGAAGAAGGUUUUCGGAUCGUAAAACUCUGUUGUAAGGGAAGAACAAGUACGUUAGUAACUGAACGUACCUUGACGGUACCUUACCAGAAAGCCACGGCUAACUACGUG
RNAcentral lists this ribosomal RNA (499 nucleotides) under uncultured bacterium. RNAcentral's name for it is "partial 16S ribosomal RNA". It matches the Rfam family "Bacterial small subunit ribosomal RNA", at positions 28 to 507 of the family's 1533-position model. The record is from RNAcentral.